GAGCAAUGAUGUGGACAUUUUUGAAUUAGCAUCUUAAAACGUUCCUAAGCUUCGUGAAAACUUUCUCCCUCUAAUUAUUUGAACAUAGCAAUCUCUCUUCUUAGUUG
Gossypium raimondii (Peruvian cotton) is the source of this 107-nucleotide small nucleolar RNA. It matches the Rfam family "Plant small nucleolar RNA R71". From Rfam's summary of the family: R71 is a member of the C/D box family of snoRNAs containing the C (UGAUGA) and D (CUGA) box motifs. Multiple nearly identical copies of this snoRNA have been identified in Arabidopsis, and it is thought to function as a 2'-O-ribose methylation guide for 18S ribosomal RNA. The record is from Rfam. Lineage: Eukaryota; Viridiplantae; Streptophyta; Magnoliopsida; Malvales; Malvaceae.